Long non-coding RNA from Pecten maximus, 523 nucleotides. RefSeq lists it as uncharacterized. The transcript has 4 exons. Lineage: Eukaryota; Metazoa; Mollusca; Bivalvia; Pectinida; Pectinidae. The record is from RefSeq and is a predicted model, not a curated record.
AGGAAAAUGAGGAAAUAAAAACACGUUCGAUUUCCUCGUCAGAAUGUAUAUAAAAGUGUAAAUAAUUCCUUUUCAAACACAACAAGCUCUGACAGAGAUUGAACAAGUGUAAGCUACUGUACGUUAGUGAAUACAGAAAAAAGGUGAAGAUGCUGAAGCUGAUCGUACUCUCCUGUCUGAUGGCCUGUGUCAUGUGCCAAUCAUAUCGAGGAAGUCGGGAUUCCUUUUUGUUGGACGGUAUAAUUGGUAACAGUUGGGAUACAGGUUUGGGUCAAUGGGGAUCCAAUCGCUGGGGUAAUGACGCAUGGAAUCGUGAUAUAUACGGAAGUGACGUGUACCGACGUGGCAACAGAAGGUGGAGAAACAGAAGAAUAGACAGAUAUUGAUUUAGAGACCAUGAAGUGUAGAAAAGACCCAUAUGGCCAAAGACUCAAACCGGAAAAUCCAUUGUCAUCUUCCAACAUUACAUUCAUUUGUAAAUUCACAUUCACAAAUAAUUUGUUAAUAAAUUCAUAUAUUUGUA